RNAcentral lists this small RNA (139 nucleotides) under Salmonella enterica subsp. enterica serovar 1,4,[5],12:i:-. RNAcentral's name for it is "RtT sRNA". It matches the Rfam family "RtT RNA". From Rfam's summary of the family: This family represents a bacterial cis-regulatory element known as RtT RNA. The exact function of RtT is unknown although it is thought that it may be involved in changing the cellular response in relation to amino acid starvation. The record is from RNAcentral. Lineage: Bacteria; Pseudomonadati; Pseudomonadota; Gammaproteobacteria; Enterobacterales; Enterobacteriaceae.
AUAUCUCUCCGUACGGGAAGGAUGAGAAGCUUCGACUAAGGUUCGAUUCGAGCGCAGCGAGAACGCGUUGCCGCAGGCAACGACCCGAAGGGCGAAGCGCGCAUCGACUUCGAAGGUUCGAAUCCUUCCCCCACCACCA